RNAcentral lists this ribosomal RNA (301 nucleotides) under uncultured bacterium. Its description in RNAcentral is "partial 16S ribosomal RNA". It matches the Rfam family "Bacterial small subunit ribosomal RNA", at positions 509 to 807 of the family's 1533-position model. The record is from RNAcentral.
CAGUGCCACGGUAAAACGAACCGUGCGAACGUUAUUCGGGAUCACUGGGCUUAAAGCGCGUGUAGGCGGGCCGCCACGUCGGCUGCUGAAAUCCCCCGGCUCAACCGGGGAAGUGGCACCGAUACGAGCGGCCUGGAGGGGGGUAGGGGGGACUGGAACUUCCGGUGGAGCGGUGAAAUGCGUAGAGAUGUGGAGGAACACCAGUGGCGAAGGCGACUCUCUGGUCUGUAACUGACGCUGAGGAGCGAAAGCGUGGGGAGCGAACAGGAUUAGAUACCCCCGUAGUCCCUGUCUCUUAUAC